This 516-nucleotide ribosomal RNA is filed under the name Scorpaena mystes (stone scorpionfish). RNAcentral's name for it is "partial 16S ribosomal RNA". It matches the Rfam family "Bacterial large subunit ribosomal RNA", at positions 1813 to 2531 of the family's 2925-position model. Lineage: Eukaryota; Metazoa; Chordata; Actinopteri; Perciformes; Scorpaenidae. The record is from RNAcentral.
ACAUCGCCUCUUGCAAAAUCAAAGAAUAAGAGGUCCCGCCUGCCCUGUGACUAUAAGUUUAACGGCCGCGGUAUUUUAACCGCGCGAAGGUAGCGCAAUCACUUGUCUUUUAAAUGAAGACCUGUAUGAAUGGCUAGACGAGGGCUUGACUGUCUCCUUUUUCAUGUCAAUGAAAUUGAUCUCCCCGUGCAGAAGCGGGGAUCCUACCAUAAGACGAGAAGACCCUAUGGAGCUUUAGACACCAAGGAAGACCAUGUCACCAACCCUCUAACACGAGACCAAACAAGUGGUUUACCUUCCCUAAUGUCUUUGGUUGGGGCGACCGCGGAGAGUGACAAAACCCCCGCGUGGAAUAGGCACAUCCUCUUCCUUCAACUAAGAGCCACAGCUCUAACUAACAGUAAUUCUGACCACCACAGAUCCGGCAAAGCCGAUUAACGGACUUAGUUACCCUAGGGAUAACAGCGCAAUCCUCUUAUAGAGUUCAUAUCGACAAGGGGGUUUACGACCUCGAUG